CGCGUAGGCGGUCUUAAAAGAUUGAUGUGAAAUCCCUGGGCUUAACCUAGGAACUGCAUCGAUGACUGUGAGACUAGAGUAUUGUAGAGGGUAGUGGAAUUUCCGGUGUAGCGGUGAAAUGCGUAGAGAUCGGAAGGAACACCAGUGGCGAAGGCGGCUACCUGGACAAAUACUGACGCUGAGGCGCGAGAGCGUGGGGAGCAAACAGGAUUAGAUACCCUGGUAGUCCACGCUGUAAACGAUGAAAACUAGAUGUUGGUCAGCGAGACUGAUUAGUAUCGAAGCAAACGCGAUAAGUUUUCCGCCUGGGGAGUACGACCGCAAGGUUAAA
Molecule: ribosomal RNA, 331 nt
Filed under: uncultured Pseudomonadota bacterium
Lineage: Bacteria; Pseudomonadati; Pseudomonadota
Description: bacterial SSU rRNA
Rfam family: Bacterial small subunit ribosomal RNA
Source: RNAcentral